Molecule: long non-coding RNA, 1965 nt
Filed under: Triticum aestivum (bread wheat)
Lineage: Eukaryota; Viridiplantae; Streptophyta; Magnoliopsida; Poales; Poaceae
Description: long non-coding RNA (TAES_LNC015636)
Source: RNAcentral
GACAACUUAAACAUGUGGUGCCCUAUCUUGAGUGUAUUAUAUCAGUAGGCUUGCAAAGAUAGGAUGACUUGCAUGAGAAAAUAGAAGUUAGCUCCAUAAAAGGCUGGUGAAUGUACAUAUAACUAUGAUUUUGUAACUGUCACUCUGCAUUUGACAACAUAGAAGUUAGCUCCAUAAACAUUUUCUUGUCGUGCAUAUAGGGAACCUUGAAACCAGACAAUUCUUCCCACCUAAAGGAUGAUAAUAAAAACUGAAUGCAGGCAAUUAUUCCUUCCUAAAGGAUGAUAAAAUAAAUAAAUGAUGGCAUGCUGCAUUAUACCACUUUGAAAUAUACAUAGGAAGAAAGGGACACACUUGUACCAAACUUUAUCAUGCGUCAUUAAUCAUAAUCAGUACUUAUUAUUUUCCCAAACCAAGACUAAUUGGCCAUAACUUGAAACACCACGUAUCCAUUUGUGUGGUGACAGCCUGAGCUCCUCCUACCGAGCGCCAAGGAGGAAGGGAUCAAGCAGAAUUGGUGAGUGACUCUCUCUCAUAAUGCAAAAUCGGUGAAACUAAAAACACAUGCUAUAGUUUGAAGUAAAGAAGUAGCAUAUGCAUUGGAGAUGUCAUUGUUUAAUUUACUGAAGUGGCUUCAAAUAUAAAAAAACGCAGAAGUGGCACACUCCAAACCAAUAAGACUGAAAUAAUCUAAGAAUAUUAUCAUUACAGAGGAACGAUUUCUAAACUUGCUGCCUUUAGCUGGUCGCACAGGGCAAAGAUAAUCCCAGUUCUUUACCACCACCACUUAACAAAAAUAGCAUAAAAGGGCAAAGUUAUCAGGGUACCGAGACUUUCUAUAAUAUGUAUCUGAAGCUAACCAUGCUGACCAGUGAGGGCAUCCUAAAGAUUUUAGUAACACCACGAAGCACAGAACAACCACAUGAUGUCAAUGAUUGUCAGGUGAACGGCAAUACCACAGGUAACAUAUAUGAUAGUAAAAAUGUAGAUGUACAAACCCUAGCUGACCAUAUCAAAAAAAGCAGAGGAGAUGUACGACAGACCUAUUAGGUCCACCAACUCCAUCGAUACCCAGCAAAGAUACUUGGGCUCGUGACGACGACAGUCGUGGAGGAGAGAACGAUGGCACCAACGAAAGGGCACGCUCCAACUUCAGAACACGGCUCCACCGUCGACCUUGAUGAGCAGCAUGACAUCACAAACAAAAUCAUACAAACACAAAGGCAACCAAGGAAGCAAGCACACAAGCUUAUAAAUCAGGGCAACCAAAAAUGCUACAACUACAGGUGCAAAAGCAGAUCUCAUGAGAUUAUUAGGCAACAUCAAAGUUAUAUAGCAUACUCUGAUUACAAUCAAUAAAGUUAUAUAGCAUAUUCUCUUUCAACAUCGAAAUUGUAUUUUUCAUCCACCUAAUAGAAUAUCAGAACAGAAAUAAGGGAACUUAAGUGGAAGGGGCAUAUAGUUCAAAGUUCAAUAGCAAGGCGUUGUUUAUUAUCGCUUUCAUUCAUCAAAUAAUGAAAAGAGCAUCAGUUAGAUGAUAAUAGAAUAGUGUGAUCAUUAGACAUAAUUUUUAACUUUUUCCAUUUAUGAUACUCUUGGCUUUGUACGAGAAACCCACUAUUUACUUCACCUCAGGACUGGAUUAGGAAAUCUUUCUUUCAAGAGACCAUCAGAUCAGCUAUUUCUAUUAUUGAAUCAGCUAAUUUUAUCGUCUGACCUAUUCACAAUGGGAAGAUUAAGGAGAGGGACAUAGUAGAAUGAAAUAUGUGUCACCUAAACAGAGUAACUCACCUUGUUGCCGCAUGUUGGCAUUGCUUGGGGAGGCAGUAGCUGUAGACUUUGAAAAGGAUGUUGGGUAUACGAUUCUCCCUUUGCAGUAGCUUGUGGGAGACGCAACGUGCAGGCCGAGAUCUCAUCUCCCUUCCCCAUCUCCCUCUCUACUUUCUCCUCCUGCCUGCUCUGUCU